GGGUUGUGAGGUUAAGCGACUAAGCGUACACGGUGGAUGCCCUGGCAGUCAGAGGCGAUGAAGGACGUGCUAAUCUGCGAUAAGCGUCGGUGAGGUGAUAUGAACCGUUAUAACCGGCGAUUUCCGAAUGGGGAAACCCAGUGUGUUUCGACACACUAUCAUUAACUGAAUCCAUAGGUUAAUGAGGCGAACCGGGGGAACUGAAACAUCUAAGUACCCCGAGGAAAAGAAAUCAACCGAGAUUCCCCCAGUAGCGGCGAGCGAACGGGGAGGAGCCCAGAGCCUGAAUCAGUGUGUGUGUUAGUGGAAGCGUCUGGAAAGGCGCGCGAUACAGGGUGACAGCCCCGUACACAAAAAUGCACAUACUGUGAGCUCGAUGAGUAGGGCGGGACACGUGGUAUCCUGUCUGAAUAUGGGGGGACCAUCCUCCAAGGCUAAAUACUCCUGACUGACCGAUAGUGAACCAGUACCGUGAGGGAAAGGCGAAAAGAACCCCGGCGAGGGGAGUGAAAAAGAACCUGAAACCGUGUACGUACAAGCAGUGGGAGCCUCUUAAUGGGGUGACUGCGUACCUUUUGUAUAAUGGGUCAGCGACUUAUAUUCUGUAGCAAGGUUAACCGAAUAGGGGAGCCGAAGGGAAACCGAGUCUUAACUGGGCGUUAAGUUGCAGGGUAUAGACCCGAAACCCGGUGAUCUAGCCAUGGGCAGGUUGAAGGUUGGGUAACACUAACUGGAGGACCGAACCGACUAAUGUUGAAAAAUUAGCGGAUGACUUGUGGCUGGGGGUGAAAGGCCAAUCAAACCGGGAGAUAGCUGGUUCUCCCCGAAAGCUAUUUAGGUAGCGCCUCGUGAAUUCAUCUCCGGGGGUAGAGCACUGUUUCGGCAAGGGGGUCAUCCCGACUUACCAACCCGAUGCAAACUGCGAAUACCGGAGAAUGUUAUCACGGGAGACACACGGCGGGUGCUAACGUCCGUCGUGAAGAGGGAAACAACCCAGACCGCCAGCUAAGGUCCCAAAGUCAUGGUUAAGUGGGAAACGAUGUGGGAAGGCCCAGACAGCCAGGAUGUUGGCUUAGAAGCAGCCAUCAUUUAAAGAAAGCGUAAUAGCUCACUGGUCGAGUCGGCCUGCGCGGAAGAUGUAACGGGGCUAAACCAUGCACCGAAGCUGCGGCAGCGACACUAUGUGUUGUUGGGUAGGGGAGCGUUCUGUAAGCCUGUGAAGGUGUACUGUGAGGUAUGCUGGAGGUAUCAGAAGUGCGAAUGCUGACAUAAGUAACGAUAAAGCGGGUGAAAAGCCCGCUCGCCGGAAGACCAAGGGUUCCUGUCCAACGUUAAUCGGGGCAGGGUGAGUCGACCCCUAAGGCGAGGCCGAAAGGCGUAGUCGAUGGGAAACAGGUUAAUAUUCCUGUACUUGGUGUUACUGCGAAGGGGGGACGGAGAAGGCUAUGUUGGCCGGGCGACGGUUGU
Molecule: ribosomal RNA, 1467 nt
Filed under: Escherichia coli
Lineage: Bacteria; Pseudomonadati; Pseudomonadota; Gammaproteobacteria; Enterobacterales; Enterobacteriaceae
Description: partial 23S ribosomal RNA
Rfam family: Bacterial large subunit ribosomal RNA
Source: RNAcentral